GCUGUGGCUCAGUGGUAGAGCACUCGCCUAGCAUGUGUGAGGUACAGGGUUUAAUCCUCAGCAAAACG
This 68-nucleotide transfer RNA is filed under the name Marmota monax (woodchuck). RNAcentral's name for it is "tRNA.Ala". The record is from RNAcentral. Lineage: Eukaryota; Metazoa; Chordata; Mammalia; Rodentia; Sciuridae.